UCACCCCCAGACUCCUCCAGCCCCGCUACCCCCUACCCCCAACUCCCUAAAGAUGAGCCGGAAGGAGAGAGCAAGCCAGUGCCAUGAAUCGAUUUCUUUAUUAAUUUUGACAUUUGUUCAGCUGGUGUAGGGAGAAUGGUCUAUACAUCAGAGAGGGGUGGGUAGGGGGGAGAUUCCCUCCAGAGAACAGAGCCGUGUGGAAGAGUCAAGAAAAGAAUCAUUUUCAUAACAAUUUAAAAAAAUCAAGGUAAUUCCAAAACUUCUAAAAAGCGUCUAAGGUGCAGACUGCAGCAUUCUCUAGGCAUCGUGUGGCGACCCCAAACCCCUCCCCUACAAGCUCCUACUAGCAGCGGACGCGGCAUGCCGCCGAGGGCCGGGGCCGGCGGGCCAAGCAGCGAAGCCAGACAGAGAGAGGGGCCAAAGCGCAGCCGGGCCGGGGCCGGGGCUCUACGGGGGCUACCGGGUCGGGGCGCCGGGGCGAGGCGGGGGCCGAUGGCGGCGGGAGGCGGCCCCGUGCCUGUCUUCCUUGGCCUUCAGCGAGUCCAGCCGGCCCGGGGCGCUGGGGGGUGGGGGCGCCGGGGCCGGGCGAAGGGUCAGGCCGGCGGCGGCCAGGAUGCUCUGCGAGCCUCCCCGCGCGCCCCUUGGAGGCCGGGCCGACCCCGACCCCGCCGGGACCCACAGGAACAGAGGGGACCCACAGGAACACUGCUCUGGGGCCGGCCGGGGCCGGGGGUGCUGGGGGGUGGGGCGCGCUCUGCCGUCGAGGAGGGGCUUCUGUGCUACUUGGAAGGUUCGGAUGUGUUCGGAGGACACCUCGGCAGAGCGGCGGAGAGGACGGGGACCGGACAUCCACACACAGUGUGGCCCUUGGGCGGGCGAGGAACUUCGUCUCCUUCCUGCCCUGACAGCGGGGGAGCCCUGGGCCGGGAGGGUCUCCUUCCUGGCUGGGGCCUCCAGGUGGUCAGCCGUCUGUCCCCCUGCGCUCCGCCCGCGCCCCCCUGCGCUGCCUCUCCAGGAGGCGGGCGGGGCGGGGGCGGGGGCACCUUGACUGCCCAGCCCAGACCACCCCCCCACCCCGCCGGCUGCCUGGACUUAGAGCACCGAGUUCGCUCCGGGAGACCUCGGGUGGCGGCUGACCUAAGAACUGGGCAGGUCCGUAUUCGCUAG
This 1167-nucleotide long non-coding RNA is filed under the name Cervus hanglu yarkandensis (Yarkand deer). RNAcentral describes it as "lncRNA (ENSCHYG00000025753.1)". Lineage: Eukaryota; Metazoa; Chordata; Mammalia; Artiodactyla; Cervidae. The record is from RNAcentral.